RNAcentral lists this long non-coding RNA (1054 nucleotides) under Orussus abietinus. Its description in RNAcentral is "uncharacterized LOC105697732, transcript variant X1". Lineage: Eukaryota; Metazoa; Arthropoda; Insecta; Hymenoptera; Orussidae. The record is from RNAcentral.
CAGAGGGCAGCACAGGAUGCGAUCGCACGACCCUGCCCGUGAGCAAUCUCCCAACUCAUCUCUGUCUCUGCUUGUUAAGGAGAAUUCAAGUAUGAUUCAUGUUUGGGUAAUGAAAGUGAAGGCGGUACUAAAUUGAACCAGUGGCGCCAUCAUCGAGGUUAAAAUCGGGAGGGUAUCUGGGAAUGAUGACUUCUGUCGAAUUUGUUAUCGUUAACGCAGUUAUUAUUUCUCUUAACACUCAUUAAAUUUAUCAGAUCGUAUACAACGCAGAACUAGAUUACGCUCACUCCAAGUGCGUACAACCAUCUGAGUACCAGCUCCUCGACGAAGAACCUAACAUGAAACGUUGAACACACUCAUAGUAACACCUUUUAGAAACCAUGCUCCGGAUAAGGUUGUCACGAAAUUUACAUGGCAGUUUCUAUGAAUGUUCACUGCUGUGACGUGUUCGUGAUUCUCUGCCUGUCCGAAGCUCCGAUUGUGUCGCAGCAGAAAUCUAUCCUAAGAAACGAAUUAACUCAACAGAAUUCCUUGGAUCAAGUUGGAUCACGGUACACGGUUGAAGAGUUAAUUCUCCGUUCGCGUGUUAUCACGCAUCGCCUGUGUACUUCCAGCUUACAUUUACACCGAAAGGUGUGACGUUUAAUACCCGCCGUUCGAGGGUAAUUCGCCAGGCACGGAUGAUUUUUCGAAGUCAAGGACUGCGACCUCGCGGAAAUGGAAGAAAAAUAAAAAAGAAAAACGCCCCGAAUGUGCGAUCUUUAAUUUGUGGGUGAACCAAUUGACGGACCGUCUCGAUGGAAGCUGGCCCGAAGAUCUGCUCGAAGUUCUCAAGAGCCACCGCGAACACGAAAUCCGCCCACGUGGUCGCAAGGAAUGAGGGUCUCCAGGUAGGGGGCAAGAGCCGUGGGAGAAACCGCAGAGAUCUGAAAUUCUGAAUAUUCCGGUGAUGUUAAAGGACCGUGCUAGCCACUCUCUCGGUUUCCACGGAUCCCGGAUCCCUCAUCUCGGAAACUUGCCGCAAACCGGGAUUCUCACCAAGGGCCACCCUCGG